AUGGCGAUGAUAGUCGUCAUGGAUGCAGCAGCAGGGAGUUCCUCCGUCCCACCUUCUCCCACGCUUCAUGAUCAACACGAUGAGGGGCUCGCGCUCGCUAUUCUUGCCGACCAACAGCCUAUGGCGGUCGACGAAUGCGAUGAUCCAGAGAUCGAGGUCGACUAUGUACCUCUAAGAGAAGAGGGGCUCGCGCUUACUACUAUUGCUGGCCAACAGCCUAUGGCGGUUGAUGAAUGCGAUGAUCCGGAGAGCGAGGUCCACUUUGUCCCUCUUAGAGUCGUGAGGCCGGAGGAUGAGCAGCAAAAGCGUCCCGGCGGGCGGGUUAAAGUAUGUGCACAUAAACCUAAAAUGCAGAAAAAGAGGAGAAAUAGGCCUGCACGCACCAAGUCUGCUAAGAGUAAUAUGUGGCGUAAACCGGAGUUUGUUUACUGUGACAACAUCAACAUUAAUACGUGGCCGGCAGAUUCCAUACCCGACGACGGUGACAAGGAUGAUAAUUUUGCGCCAACGGGGAAGAGAGGGAGGCCGGCACGCGCCAAGUCUGCAAAGACAAAGACGUGUCGAAAACCAGGGUUUGUUUACAGCGACAACUACAGCAUUAGCAGCAGUGAGAGCGAGAGCGAGAGCGAGGGAAACAACAAUGAUGAUUAUGAUCCGACGGCACCUGAUGCUGAUGGCCACCCAAAGAAAUGUGCAAGAUCUCGAGGGAGGCCGGCACGCGCCAAGUCUGCUAAGAGCAAGAUGUGGCGUAACCCGGAGUUUGUUUGCGGCGACAACAUCAACAUUAGUACCAGUAGUGAGACCGAGAUUGAAAGAAACAAUGAUGGCGCAGACCGCCAUCAUCGCCGAGGGUGUCAGGGCCUCCUCUCCCUCUUCUCGUGA
RNAcentral lists this ribosomal RNA (882 nucleotides) under Triticum aestivum (bread wheat). Its description in RNAcentral is "partial small subunit ribosomal RNA". Lineage: Eukaryota; Viridiplantae; Streptophyta; Magnoliopsida; Poales; Poaceae. The record is from RNAcentral.